Long non-coding RNA from Pteronotus mesoamericanus, 572 nucleotides. RefSeq lists it as uncharacterized. The transcript is spliced from 3 exons. NCBI's taxonomy places the organism in Eukaryota, Metazoa, Chordata, Mammalia, Chiroptera, Mormoopidae. The record is from RefSeq and is a predicted model, not a curated record.
GGCUCCUGGUGUCACAGGAGAGAGCCCAGAAGGACAAACGUGUGUGCUUUCUCAGGAUGAUGUUGGGAGAUGUGCUUCUUCACAGUGAGGGAGAAAACCAAGACCGAGGAUGACUCAGGAUUGAGGGGACGGGACUCAGUGCGAGCAAGAGGUCCUGGGAAUGUUGGUGACUGAUGCUGGAAGAGAAUGAAACUGUCCAAAGUGCUGAGCGCAGUGCCUGGCCCAUGGAAAACGUUCUGCAAACAGACAGCAUGACGAGUAUUAAGUACUCAGCCCCGAUGGCCCAGUUAUCUAAAGCACUUAAGGAGAGAGGUGUGUCAUCAGGAACCUUCAGCACAGUGAGCCUCGGGCCCUGUAAUGACAGAUGAAUGACAGAGGCGGGAUAGCUGGGCGUCCCUGAGCACUAGAACUGGAGGCAGACCACCUGCUGGACGUCCCCCACCAAGCGGUUUUCUGCGUCUCUCUCGCCAGUGAUAUGGAUGUCAUGGACGUGGCAGUGAUGCUCGUGGUGUAGACAGACCCGCUUCCCUUUCACCCCGUCUCAUCCUGGGCUCCACACCUGCAGUUGCGGC